Molecule: microRNA precursor, 56 nt
Filed under: Blattella germanica (German cockroach)
Lineage: Eukaryota; Metazoa; Arthropoda; Insecta; Blattodea; Blattellidae
Description: Bge-Mir-87-P1_pre stem-loop
Source: RNAcentral
GGGCCUGAAUCCUUGCUCAGCCUGAUGUAAAAAGGUGAGCAAAGUUUCAGGUGUGU